Triticum aestivum (bread wheat) is the source of this 472-nucleotide long non-coding RNA. RefSeq lists it as uncharacterized. The record is from RefSeq and is a predicted model, not a curated record. Lineage: Eukaryota; Viridiplantae; Streptophyta; Magnoliopsida; Poales; Poaceae. The transcript is spliced from 3 exons.
UUCGUGGGCCGGCUGUCGGCCCACCGUGCAUUUUGGGGCAUUCCCUUUCGCUGUGCCCACUCUAUCUGACUUCCCGUGCUCGGUGCUCCUCACCGCCGUUCGGCGCACGGACGCCGUCGGCCAUUGGGCAUGCCGCUGACCUCCAGCGGCGCGCACUCGGCCUCCACCUCCACCAGCGGUGGAACCGCUCUGGCUCACCUGGUUUACCGACGAUGCCGAACAGGGGAAGGAAAGCGCCUCCCAAUGCCACGCGCGGUUCCGAUCUGCUGGUACAUGCUGCUGCAAAAGGGCUAUCUAAAGCAUGAUUGUUCUUUCCUCCGCCUCUGGUCUUUCCUACCAUUUUUUUUUUAAGGUCCUUUCCUUUCCUACCAUAUGGUACCCAAGAUUAUAGAUUAUGCUACUGUCCAAAUGCUGAAUCCAGUACUCGCUCAUUUGCCUACUUUGCUUCAUUGUCCAUAAUUUUUACUCAUCA